Molecule: ribosomal RNA, 741 nt
Filed under: Triticum aestivum (bread wheat)
Lineage: Eukaryota; Viridiplantae; Streptophyta; Magnoliopsida; Poales; Poaceae
Description: partial small subunit ribosomal RNA
Source: RNAcentral
AUGCAGGGCGGCGGCGGCGGCGGGAUGGAGGAGGCGGCGGCGGCGGCCAAGAACCGGAGCGGCGGUGUUGGUGAGCGCGCCGCCGUGGAGGUGCUGGAGGGGCCUCGUUUCCGGCGGGUGUGUGUGUUCUGCGGGAGCAGCUCCGGGAAGCGCAGCAGCUACCGCGACGCCGCCGUCGAGCUGGGCAAGGAACUGGUUGCUCGUCGGAUGGAUCUGGUGUACGGAGGAGGCAGCCUGGGGCUCAUGGGGGAGGUCUCGGAGGCCGUCCACAAGGCCGGCGGCCACGUCAUCGGCGUCAUACCUACCACUCUCAUGGGCAAGGAGAUCACCGGGGAGACGGUGGGGGAGGUGGUGGCGGUGUCGGGGAUGCACGAGCGGAAGGCGGCCAUGGCGCGCAACGCCGACGCUUUCAUCGCGCUGCCCGGCGGCUACGGCACCCUGGACGAGCUGCUCGAGGUCAUCGCAUGGGCGCAGCUCGGCAUCCACACCAAGCCAGUGGGGCUGCUGAACGUGGAUGGGUACUACGACUUCCUGCUGGCCUUCAUCGACAAGGCGGUGGACGACGGCUUCAUCAGGCCAUCCCAGCGCCACAUCUUCGUCAGCGCGCCCGACGCCAGGAGCCUCGUCCGCAAGCUCGAGGAGUACGUGGCGGUGGUGGACGACCCGGCGACGCCCAAGCUGCGGUGGGAGAUCGAGCAGGUCGGCUACAACGCCACGCUCCAGGCAGAAAUCGCCCGCUGA